UACGUAGGGUCCGAGCGUUGUCCGGAAUUACUGGGCGUAAAGCGCUCGCAGGUGGUUCGUCGCGUCGUGCGUGAAAGACCCCGGCUCAACUGGGGAGGGUCGUGCGAUACGGGCGGACUGGAGGCCAGUAGGGGGAUGCGGAAUUCCGGGUGUAGUGGUGGAAUGCGUAGAGAUCCGGAGGAACACCAGCGGCGAAGGCGGCAUCCUGGACUGGUCCUGACACUCAUGAGCGAAAGCGUGGGGAGCGAUCCGG
RNAcentral lists this ribosomal RNA (253 nucleotides) under uncultured bacterium. Its description in RNAcentral is "partial 16S ribosomal RNA". It matches the Rfam family "Bacterial small subunit ribosomal RNA", at positions 524 to 776 of the family's 1533-position model. The record is from RNAcentral.